UCUGCCAAGAAAAGCAUCGACGCGAGGUUCCAGUCACCCGUACCCCAAACCGACUCAGGUGGUCAGGUAGAGAAUACCAAGGAGAUCGAGAGAAUCGUGGUUAAGGAACUCGGCAAAAUGCCCCCGUAACUUCGGGAGAAGGGGGGCCUGAGGCGUGAAGGGAUUUACUCCUGGAGCGUUUGAAGGCCGCAGAGACCAGUGGGAAGCGACUGUUUACUAAAAACACAGGUCCGUGCUAAGUCGCGAGACGAUGUAUACGGACUGACGCCUGCCCGGUGCUGGAAGGUUAAGAGGAACGGUUAGCCGCAAGGCGAAGCUGAGAAUUUAAGCCCCAGUAAACGGCGGUGGUAACUAUAACCAUCCUAAGGUAGCGAAAUUCCUUGUCGGGUAAGUUCCGACCUGCACGAAUGGCGUAACGACUUCCCAGCUGUCUCAACCGCGAACUCGGCGAAAUUGCACUACGAGUAAAGAUGCUCGUUACGCGCAGAAGGACGGAAAGACCCCGUGACCUUUACUAUAGCUUUGUAUUGGUGUUCGGUGUGGCUUGUGUAGGAUAGGUGGGAGACUGUGAAGCUUGGACGCUAGUUCAGGUGGAGUCAUUGUUGAAAUACCACUCUGGUCACUCUGGAUAUCUAACUUCGAACCGUGAUCCGGUUCAGGGACAGUGCAUGGUGGGUAGUUUAACUGGGGCGGUUGCCUCCCAAAAAGUAACGGAGGCGCCCAAAGGUUCCCUCAACCUGGUUGGCAAUCAGGUGUCGAGUGUAAGUGCACAAGGGAGCUUGACUGUGAGAAUGACAGGUCGAGCAGGGACGAAAGUCGGGACUAGUGAUCCGGCAGUGGCUUGUGGAAGCGCUGUCGCUCAACGGAUAAAAGGUACCUCGGGGAUAACAGGCUGAUCUUGCCCAAGAGUCCAUAUCGACGGCAUGGUUUGGCACCUCGAUGUCGGCUCGUCGCAUCCUGGGGCUGGAGUAGGUCCCAAGGGUUGGGCUGUUCGCCCAUUAAAGCGGUACGCGAGCUGGGUUUAGAACGUCGUGAGACAGUUCGGUCCCUAUCCUCUGCGCGCGCAGGAAAUUUGAGAAGAGCUAUCCCUAGUACGAGAGGACCGGGAUGGACGAACCUCUGGUGUGUCAGUUGUUCCGCCAGGAGCACCGCUGAUUAGCUACGUUCGGAACGGAUAACCGCUGAAAGCAUCUAAGCGGGAAGCCGGCUUCAAGAUGAGAUUUCCAUGACUUCGGUCGAGAGGCUCCCAGCUAGACUACUGGGUUGAUAGGCGGGAUGUGGAAGUGCGGACUAAAGACGCAUGGAGCUGACCCGUACUAUAAGCCGAUAAAUUG
This 1334-nucleotide ribosomal RNA is filed under the name metagenome. RNAcentral's name for it is "bacterial LSU rRNA". It matches the Rfam family "Bacterial large subunit ribosomal RNA", at positions 1604 to 2925 of the family's 2925-position model. The record is from RNAcentral.